Molecule: ribosomal RNA, 494 nt
Filed under: uncultured bacterium
Lineage: Bacteria
Description: partial 16S ribosomal RNA
Rfam family: Bacterial small subunit ribosomal RNA
Source: RNAcentral
GACGAACGCUGGCGGCGUGCUUAACACAUGCAAGUCGAACGGAAAGGCCUGCUUUCCCUUGUGGAUUGCGGGUACUCGCGUGGCGAACGGGUGAGUAACACGUGAGUGAUCUGCCCCCAACUUGGGUAUAAGCCUGGGAAACUGGGUCUAAUUCCCGAUAGGACUGCAGGGUGGUGCCUGUGGUGGCAGACGAUUUUCUAGUGGUUGGGGAUGAGCUCGCGGCCUAUCAGCUUGUUGGUGGGGUAAUGGCCUACCAAGGCGGGGACGGGUAGGCGGCCUGGGGGAGUGGACGGGAACAGUGGGACGGAGAUACGGCGCAGACUACUACGGGAGGCAGCAGUGGGGAAGAAGACACGAUGGGCGGAAGCCUGAGGCAGCGACGCCGCGUGGGGGAUGACGGGCGUCGGGUUGUAACCUCCGUGCGACCGCGAGGAAGCCACCUGGUUGGAAGGGUGGUGACGGUAGUGGUAGAAGAAGCACCGGCUAACUACGUG